GGACUAUUAAAUUCUAAAAUGCUUUACGAAAUUAGCUAAAAAUUAAAAAAAAAAAAGCUUUACGAAAUUAACAAAAAUGGAAAAUUAUUUAUCAAUUUAACCUUACAUUUUUUUUUUGCAGAUAUUUCACUACUCAGGGAUGGUUACCAACACCGUGCCCGCAAAGCUCUCCUCGGUACCCUAUACCUAAACGUACCAGAUACCGGUCUCAGCGAACCACCUCCACCGCGCCGAGCAGCCAAACC
This 245-nucleotide unclassified non-coding RNA is filed under the name Hevea brasiliensis (rubber tree). Lineage: Eukaryota; Viridiplantae; Streptophyta; Magnoliopsida; Malpighiales; Euphorbiaceae. The record is from RNAcentral.